AGCUUCACCCAGGAUAUGAUCAUUCAAAGAAUCUAGAGAGAUGCACCUACUUCGGUAUCUACCAUUGGAUUUUUCAAAUGAACAUACCAGCAUGGACUCUAGGCUCGAGGGCUUCAGUAGUCGAAGCAGGUGGGUUCAGUAGUGACACACAGUCUUAGUUGCCCUGGGACAGGUGGAAUCUUCCUGAACUAGGGACCGAACGCCUGCCCCGUUGCAUUGGCAGGCACAUUCUUAACCACUGGACCUCCAGGGAAUUGCUGGCCUGCUUGUCCUUGGGUGUGCAGUUCUCUGGGCUCUGAUACACGGAGAGAUUGCAGUGAUCACCACCGCGACCAGGACACAGGCCGAGUCCGUCACCCCAAAAACACCCAGCUGCUGCCCCUUUCUGGUGUCCUCUCCCACACCCCAAUCCCUGGCACAAGGAUCUGUCCUCCUCCACAGAGGACUUUGUCCUUUGCAAUUUUAAAAUUCCUUACGUAUUCUGAAUAUAAGACCUUUCUCGGAUCUGUCAUUCACGAACAUCUUUCCCCUAAUAACAAAUAGCUUCCCUUUUCGUUACAGGAGACAUGAGUGAUGAAAUCUUCUUUUCCUCCCCACACUCAGAGCCCAAUGUGGUGUAGCCAGCAAGUGCCCGUGAGAUUCUUCAGAAGUGAAAAUGAAUUCUGCUGUCUGUCAGUCAGUCUGUGCUAUCAGCUAGCCCCCAGAGCUGUAUUUCUGCAGAAAUCCACGAGUCUUCUGCAGACAGAGGCACUUGAGAACAGGUAUAUUUAUUGGAGUCUGAACUUGCGAUCUCAUCAGAGAGCUUCAGAGCUCAACCCAUCUUGCAGGACUUGUCUCCCAAGGGAGCUUUUCUUCUUGAAACUCAGAGGCGUGAAUUUAGUCAGUGUGGGCAUGUUUAGCAGGGCGAACAUGGCAUUUCAAGGUUGCUCAUCUUUUACCAGGUAUCAGACCACAUUCAAUGUAUUUCUUUCUGUCACCUUAUUUACUCCUCCUUCAAAGACCCGUCAUUUUGGACGAUUUCAGUCCUAAUUGAUGAGGUGAGAAAGCAGAAGACAGAGAAGUCAGGGGGAUUGCUCAGAGUCAUAUAGGCCGCCAGAGGAAAAGUGACCCACAAACCUUGGCAUCCUCCAUUCAGAGCCCCCACUCUUUAUUUCUUCAGUAAAGUUGCCAUGCGUGCGUGCAUGCCAAGUCACAUCAGUCAUGUCCAACUCUUUGCGACCACAUGCCUGUUGCCCGCCAGGCUCCUCUGUCCAUGGGAUUCUCCA
Long non-coding RNA from Cervus elaphus (red deer), 1265 nucleotides. RefSeq lists it as uncharacterized. The record is from RefSeq and is a predicted model, not a curated record. The transcript is spliced from 3 exons. Lineage: Eukaryota; Metazoa; Chordata; Mammalia; Artiodactyla; Cervidae.